Small nucleolar RNA from Nycticebus coucang (slow loris), 142 nucleotides. RefSeq annotates it as U8 small nucleolar RNA. The transcript has a single exon. The record is from RefSeq and is a predicted model, not a curated record. NCBI's taxonomy places the organism in Eukaryota, Metazoa, Chordata, Mammalia, Primates, Lorisidae.
CUGACAGGCAGAAUAAUCCUUAGCUGGCCCUCCUCUUGGAGGGGAGAUUAGAACAGAUGAUUGGAGUUCAGGUGAUAUAUGAUUAACAUCUCUGCACAGUGGGGCUGGGAACUGGUAUAGCCUCUGUGGAAAGAAGUCUGGA